This 314-nucleotide transfer-messenger RNA is filed under the name Rickettsiales bacterium. It matches the Rfam family "Alphaproteobacteria transfer-messenger RNA". Rfam says of the family: Bacterial tmRNA, also known as 10Sa RNA or SsrA, is named for its dual tRNA and mRNA-like properties. The record is from RNAcentral. Lineage: Bacteria; Pseudomonadati; Pseudomonadota; Alphaproteobacteria; Rickettsiales.
CUAUUUACAAUAUACGUAUAUGUAUAUUAUACUAAUAGAUGCUACAUAAGUGUGGCUAUGGUAAUAAACGUUAUUUGUAAUAGAAGUAUUGGACCCGGGGGCGGUACCCGGCGCCUCCACCAUUUUUAGAAAUUUAUGGGGGCGAAAUAGGAUCGACAAGCUUAAUAAAGAAAUAAUUUUUACCCAGGAUGAUUCCGCUGAAAAUGGGUCAAAAAAAGUAAAUGCAAACGAUAAUCGUUCUUUUGCGGCUGCUGCUUAAUUGUAGAUAGCCACGGGGUUUUGAGGCUUUUCCUUGCAACAGAAAAAGUCUCACU